CUUUGAGCCCGCCACCGUAAUGCCCCCCAAUGAUGGUGUUUAUUAUGCCGACUGGGGGUUGGUUUUUCUGCAGCUCAGUCUGCUGUGGUUGCUUUGCUGGCCAAGGAGAUCUCUGUCGAUCUUUUCGCUGCUCCCUCCUUCAUCGGAUAAAUCGGUUGAGAUGGCUAUGCUUGAUGAAAUCCUCGAUCUCAUUCUGGAGUUGGAUACACUACUCC
RNAcentral lists this long non-coding RNA (215 nucleotides) under Elaeis guineensis (African oil palm). RNAcentral describes it as "long non-coding RNA (EGUI_LNC020956)". Lineage: Eukaryota; Viridiplantae; Streptophyta; Magnoliopsida; Arecales; Arecaceae. The record is from RNAcentral.